UAGAAAUUAUUUAUUAAUUUUUGUAUGAAAAAAUAAUUUUAAUUUAAGUAUUUUUUAUAGAAAAAAUAAGUAUUAUUAUAGUAAAUAGUAUUGAAAAAGAAAAUUGAAAUAAGUGAAAAUUUAUUAAUUAAUAAGAAGAUUUUAUUUAUUGUACCUUUUGUAUCAGGGAUUAUUAAAUAAUUUAUAAUUAUUUUAUUAGUUUCGAAAUAAAAAGAUUUAAUUUAAUAUAAUUGUUAGUGUUGUAAAAUUAAAUUAAAUAUUAAAUUAGAAUUAAGAAAUUAAUCGGUUUUUAUUAUAUCUAGUUUUUUAAGAAAUAAAUUGAAUUUAGUUAAUAAGUUUUAUUUAAUUAUUUUUGAAUUAAGUAGGAAUUUAUUAAUAAUAUAUUAAGGGAUAAGCUUUUAUAUAGUUAUUAUAAAAAAUAAAUAAAGAUUAAUUGUAUAUUCUUAGAAAUAGAAAUUAUAUAGUAGUAUGUUAUAAUUUAGUAAUUAGUGUUUAUAAUAUUUAUUUUUUUUUAAUUUUUUUAUUAAAAUAUUUAAUUUAAUUAUGUUUUUAAAUUAAUAAUGAUAAUAUUAGUAUAUAUGAAUUUUGUAAGAAUAUGUAAUGGGUUAAAAUAGAUUUAAGGAACUCGGCAAAUUUAGUAUUCGCCUGUUUAUUAAAAACAUGGCUUUUAGAAAUUAAUUUAAGGUUUAAUCUGCCCACUGAUAAAUUAAAGGGCCGCAGUAUAUUAACUGUGCAAAGGUAGCAUAAUCAUUAGUUUUUUAAUUGAAAGCUAGAAUGAAUGAUUGGACGAAAUAUUUUCUGUCUUAGGUUUAUUGAAAUAGAAUUUUAUUUUUUAGUUAAAAAGUUAAAAUAAGAUAAAAAGACGAGAAGACCCUAUAGAUCUUUAUAUAAUAAUAGUUUAAUAAAAAUUAGUUAAAUUUUAUUUUAAGUUAUUAAUAUAUUAUAUUGGGGUAAUAAUAAAAUUUAAAUAAUUUUUGUUUAAUUUAACAAUUAUAGUUGAUUAAUUGAUCCAGUAUUAUUGAUUAUAAAGUUAAGUUACCUUAGGGAUAACAGCAUAAUGAUUUUUGAGAGUUCGUAUUGAUAAAAUAGAUUGUGACCUCGAUGUUGAAUUAAAAUUUAUUUUGGAUGCAGGUGUUUAAUAAAUAAGGUCUGUUCGACCUUUAAUAUUUUACAUGAUUUGAGUUUAGACCGGUGUGAGCCAGGUCAGUUUCUAUCUUUUAUUAUUGUAUAUAUUUUAGUACGAAAGGAUUAAAUAUAUAAUAAAUUUUAUUAAUAGUAUUGGAAUAAUUAUAAUAGGAUUU
This 1301-nucleotide ribosomal RNA is filed under the name Pressatia choti. Its description in RNAcentral is "16S ribosomal RNA". The stretch from base 1046 to 1205 matches the Rfam family "Archaeal large subunit ribosomal RNA", at positions 2544 to 2703 of the family's 2987-position model. Lineage: Eukaryota; Metazoa; Arthropoda; Insecta; Diptera; Psychodidae. The record is from RNAcentral.